CGUGCCCGCCGGGGCCGCCGCGGGGGUCAGGAUCGGGAACGAGCAGCUGGUUGUGCAGAUCGCUCAGGUCCAGCAGAUGGCGGCCGACCUGGCCAGGCACCUCGACGAGCUCGAGUACUACGGCAUCAGGGAAAAGAUAAAAAGGAAGAACUUCAAGAGCAGCAACCCGUUGGUAUCCAAAGUGAAAUCUUUUACUGAAGUUGGACAAUCAAAGCCAAGAAUCAAUAGAUCUGACAUACCACACAUAAGAGAUACCGUGGAAAAUCUGCAUAAGAUUUGUGAUGAUGUUCACAAUGCCCUUUUGUUAGAGAAACUAGAUGGAAUUAAUCGGGCAACUCGAAAAACAAGCACAGACACACGUGAGGCAGUGGAGAGUUUCACUGAAACUAAGGUGUUCUCAAGGGAAGAGAAGGAUGGUAUUCUCAAACUAAUUAGUAGCAGUGCAUCAAGCGGUCAAGAACUUUUAGUUGUUCCAAUAGUUGGUGAUGGAGGUGUUGGGAAGACAACACUCGCUCGACUAGUUUACCAUGACCCAGAUGUAAAAGCUAAGUUCAACAUCAGGAUUUGGGUCUAUGUAUCUGCGAGCUUUGACGAAGUGAAGCUUACGCAAAGUAUUCUGGAACAAAUACCUGAAUGCGAGCAUACAAAUACUCAAAACCUCACUGUGCUUCAGCGUGGUAUCAAGGAACACUUAACCAAAAGAUUUUUACUUGUAUUGGAUGAUAUGUGGGAGGAGAGUGAGGGUCGUUGGGACAAGCUGUUGGCACCACUUAGAUGUACAGAAGUUAAAGGUAAUGUGAUUCUGGUAACAACCCGAAAGUUGUCUGUUGCCAGCAUAACAAGCAAAAUGGAGGAGCACAUCAACUUGGAUGGUAUGAAGGAUGAUAUAUUUUGGUGCUUCUUUAAAAGAUGCAUAUUUGGUGAUGAGAAUUAUCAAGGUCAGAAGAAGCUUCAAAAAAUUGGAAAGCAAAUAGCCACCAAGCUGAAAGGAAAUCCAUUAGCAGCUAAAAGUGUCAGCACGCUUUUGAGAAGAAAUCUUCAUGAGGUUCACUGGAGAAAAAUUUUGGACAGUGAUGAAUGGAAGUUACAAAAUGGUACAGAUGGUAUCAUACCAGCACUAAUGCUCAGUUACAAUCACUUGUCCUACCACCUUCAGCUCCUCUUUUCCCAUUGUGCUCUGUUUCCAAAAGGUUACAAAUUCGAUAAGGAACAGCUGAUACGUGUAUGGAUCGCUCUUGGCUUUCUCAUUGACGAGAGAAGAAAAUUGGAAGAUGCAGGAAGUGACAGUUUUGAUGAUUUGGUAGACCGGAGCUUCUUACAGAAAGAUGGGCAGUACUUUGUUGUGCAUGAUUUAAUACAUGAUGUAGCACGAGAAGUCUCACUAUGUGAGUGCCUUACCAUUGAUGGCUCAGACCAUCGGAAAGUUUUCCCAUCCAUUCGUCAUCUUGGCAUCUGGACGGAGUUGGUUUAUAAGGAAAUAAGCAUAGAACGUAGUGAGACUUUUGAAGAAAAGCUAGAAGAAAUUCAGAAUAGUGGUAUUCUGAGAAGCUUGGAGAGUUUAAUGCUUGUAGGUGUAUAUGAUGAGAACUUCUCUGCAAAGUUUGUGAAGACUCUUCAGCAAUCACGUUAUGUCCGGGUACUUCAGUUAUCUGCAAUGCCCUUCAAUGCUGACGUGUUGCUAUCCAGUGUUAAAAAGUUCAUCCAUCUUCGCUAUUUAGAACUGAGGUCUACCUCUGAUAUGCGCAACCCUUUGCCUGAGGCCAUCUGUAAGCUCUACCACCUACAGGUACUGGACAUCAUACAUUGGAGCGGCCUAGAUGAUUUGCCAAAGGGUAUGAGUAAUCUUGUCAACCUCCGCUAUUUACUUGUUCCGGAGUCAGGGUCAUUGCACUCGAAGAUAUCAAGAGUUGGAGAACUUAAGUUUCUACAAGAGCUGAAUGAGUUCCGGGUGCAGCGAGACAGUGGCUUUGCCAUCUCGCAGCUGGAGUACUUAAACGAGAUCAGGGGAUCGCUUAUUAUCCUUGAUCUUGAGAAUGCCACAAAGAAGGAAGAGGCUAAUCGUGCAAGGAUUAAAGAUAAAAAACAUCUGAGGACACUUUCACUCUCAUGGGGUAGUGCAAGUGGGAAUCCUUCUGUUCAGAGAGAAGUAAUCGAGGGUCUUAAACCACAUGAUUACCUCGCACAUCUCCAUGUCAUAAACUAUGCUGGUGCUACUCCAUCAUGGCUGGGAGAAAAUUUCUCACUCGGCAAUCUAGAAAGCCUCCAUCUCCAGGACUGUUCAGCACUGAAGGUUCUUCCACCGUUUGAAGAGUUGCCAUUCCUGAAGAAACUACACUUGACUGGUUUGUCAUCUCUGAAAGAAUUUAAUGUUGAUUUCAAUCGUGGUGGGGUGAGUACAGGCUCCCAGUCAUGUGAGGAGGAUGAGUUGGAGUUAAGUGAAGUUGAGAUAGCGAAGUGUUCAGCUUUAACACGCAUAAGGCUUCAUUCCUGCAAGGCAUUGACCAAGUUAAGUGUGACAGAUUGUGGAGCACUAUCUUGUCUAGAAGGUUUGCCACCCCCUGAUCAACUGAAACACUGUGUUGUCAAAGGAUGCCCUCAACUUCCAGCUAAUAACAUCUCGAGCUGAUUAUUUGUUGACAAAGCACUCUGAAGAAAAUCUGUAAGAUGAGGCAACUCCAUGAGCUACAACACAUGGCACCCUUGUAUUUAAGAACAUGACUAUAGGUGCUUGACUCAAACACCGUCCAUCUAUAUCUACUCGUACCAAGUACACAAAUUUCACCAGAGUGGUUGCACUCUACUUUGAAUGUUUGCGCUGAAAGAACAUGCCUGUUUACUGGCUGGUGGCGGUAAGAACAAAGAAUAUGUCCACAUGAAUAUUUGGAUGCUCCAUGUGCUGGCAAUAAAAUAAGGGCAAGUUUGGGCAAAUUUAUAGGAAAAUCUACUAAGAUCAGUACGGAGUAGAAUAUGAAGUUUAUACGGACUAUUUCCUCCGUCCCAAAAUAAGUCACGUGAAUUUGUAUAAUCCAGGGAGUAGUAUUUGUAACAAGUUACAAGAAAAGUGUUUUAAAAGGCUGUCUCCGAUUUCUGGCGAUGCCUUGGCCUGGCAA
Brachypodium distachyon (stiff brome) is the source of this 3110-nucleotide RNA transcript. It is a transcript of the gene named putative disease resistance protein RGA3, with no coding region annotated. The record is from RefSeq and is a predicted model, not a curated record. The transcript is spliced from 3 exons. NCBI's taxonomy places the organism in Eukaryota, Viridiplantae, Streptophyta, Magnoliopsida, Poales, Poaceae.